GGGCAGACCGGGCGAGCAGGCGCGGUAAUACGGGGGUGGUAAGCGUUGUUCGGAAUUACGGGGGGUAAAGGGCUCGUAGGCGGCCAACUAAGUCAUACGUGAAAUCCCGCAGCUGAACUGGGGAACUGCGUGGGAUACUGGAUGGCUUGGAUUUGGGAGAGGGAUGCGGAAUUCCAGGUGUAGCGGUGAAAUGCGUAGAUAUCUGGAGGAACACCGGUGGCGAAGGCGGCAUCCUGGACCAAUAUUGACGCUGAGGAGCGAAAGCCAGGGGAGCAAACGGGAUUAGAUACCCUUGUAGUC
This 300-nucleotide ribosomal RNA is filed under the name uncultured Dysgonomonas sp. Its description in RNAcentral is "bacterial SSU rRNA". It matches the Rfam family "Bacterial small subunit ribosomal RNA", at positions 496 to 795 of the family's 1533-position model. The record is from RNAcentral. Lineage: Bacteria; Pseudomonadati; Bacteroidota; Bacteroidia; Bacteroidales; Dysgonomonadaceae.